CAGUGAGGAAUAUUGGACAAUGGGUGAGAGCCUGAUCCAGCCAUCCCGCGUGAAGGACGACGGCCCUAUGGGUUGUAAACUUCUUUUGUACAGGGAUAAACCUUUCCACGUGUGGAAAGCUGAAGGUACUGUACGAAUAAGCACCGGCUAACUCCGUGCCA
This 161-nucleotide ribosomal RNA is filed under the name uncultured Chryseobacterium sp. RNAcentral's name for it is "partial 16S ribosomal RNA". It matches the Rfam family "Bacterial small subunit ribosomal RNA", at positions 352 to 510 of the family's 1533-position model. The record is from RNAcentral. Lineage: Bacteria; Pseudomonadati; Bacteroidota; Flavobacteriia; Flavobacteriales; Weeksellaceae.